This 2903-nucleotide ribosomal RNA is filed under the name Bacillota bacterium. RNAcentral's name for it is "Bacterial large subunit ribosomal RNA". It matches the Rfam family "Bacterial large subunit ribosomal RNA". The record is from Rfam by way of RNAcentral. Lineage: Bacteria; Bacillati; Bacillota.
GGUUAAGCGACUAAGCGUACACGGUGGAUGCCCUGGCAGUCAGAGGCGAUGAAGGACGUGCUAAUCUGCGAUAAGCGUCGGUAAGGUGAUAUGAACCGUUAUAACCGGCGAUUUCCGAAUGGGGAAACCCAGUGUGAUUCGUCACACUAUCAUUAACUGAAUCCAUAGGUUAAUGAGGCGAACCGGGGGAACUGAAACAUCUAAGUACCCCGAGGAAAAGAAAUCAACCGAGAUUCCCCCAGUAGCGGCGAGCGAACGGGGAGCAGCCCAGAGCCUGAAUCAGUGUGUGUGUUAGUGGAAGCGUCUGGAAAGGCGCGCGAUACAGGGUGACAGCCCCGUACACAAAAAUGCACAUGCUGUGAGCUCGAUGAGUAGGGCGGGACACGUGGUAUCCUGUCUGAAUAUGGGGGGACCAUCCUCCAAGGCUAAAUACUCCUGACUGACCGAUAGUGAACCAGUACCGUGAGGGAAAGGCGAAAAGAACCCCGGCGAGGGGAGUGAAAAAGAACCUGAAACCGUGUACGUACAAGCAGUGGGAGCCUCUUUUAUGGGGUGACUGCGUACCUUUUGUAUAAUGGGUCAGCGACUUAUAUUCUGUAGCAAGGUUAACCGAAUAGGGGAGCCGAAGGGAAACCGAGUCUUAACUGGGCGUUAAGUUGCAGGGUAUAGACCCGAAACCCGGUGAUCUAGCCAUGGGCAGGUUGAAGGUUGGGUAACACUAACUGGAGGACCGAACCGACUAAUGUUGAAAAAUUAGCGGAUGACUUGUGGCUGGGGGUGAAAGGCCAAUCAAACCGGGAGAUAGCUGGUUCUCCCCGAAAGCUAUUUAGGUAGCGCCUCGUGAAUUCAUCUCCGGGGGUAGAGCACUGUUUCGGCAAGGGGGUCAUCCCGACUUACCAACCCGAUGCAAACUGCGAAUACCGGAGAAUGUUAUCACGGGAGACACACGGCGGGUGCUAACGUCCGUCGUGAAGAGGGAAACAACCCAGACCGCCAGCUAAGGUCCCAAAGUCAUGGUUAAGUGGGAAACGAUGUGGGAAGGCCCAGACAGCCAGGAUGUUGGCUUAGAAGCAGCCAUCAUUUAAAGAAAGCGUAAUAGCUCACUGGUCGAGUCGGCCUGCGCGGAAGAUGUAACGGGGCUAAACCAUGCACCGAAGCUGCGGCAGCGACACUAUGUGUUGUUGGGUAGGGGAGCGUUCUGUAAGCCUGUGAAGGUGUGCUGUGAGGCAUGCUGGAGGUAUCAGAAGUGCGAAUGCUGACAUAAGUAACGAUAAAGCGGGUGAAAAGCCCGCUCGCCGGAAGACCAAGGGUUCCUGUCCAACGUUAAUCGGGGCAGGGUGAGUCGACCCCUAAGGCGAGGCCGAAAGGCGUAGUCGAUGGGAAACAGGUUAAUAUUCCUGUACUUGGUGUUACUGCGAAGGGGGGACGGAGAAGGCUAUGUUGGCCGGGCGACGGUUGUCCCGGUUUAAGCGUGUAGGCUGGUUUUCCAGGCAAAUCCGGAAAAUCAAGGCUGAGGCGUGAUGACGAGGCACUACGGUGCUGAAGCAACAAAUGCCCUGCUUCCAGGAAAAGCCUCUAAGCAUCAGGUAACAUCAAAUCGUACCCCAAACCGACACAGGUGGUCAGGUAGAGAAUACCAAGGCGCUUGAGAGAACUCGGGUGAAGGAACUAGGCAAAAUGGUGCCGUAACUUCGGGAGAAGGCACGCUGAUAUGUAGGUGAAGUCCCUCGCGGAUGGAGCUGAAAUCAGUCGAAGAUACCAGCUGGCUGCAACUGUUUAUUAAAAACACAGCACUGUGCAAACACGAAAGUGGACGUAUACGGUGUGACGCCUGCCCGGUGCCGGAAGGUUAAUUGAUGGGGUCAGCGCAAGCGAAGCUCUUGAUCGAAGCCCCGGUAAACGGCGGCCGUAACUAUAACGGUCCUAAGGUAGCGAAAUUCCUUGUCGGGUAAGUUCCGACCUGCACGAAUGGCGUAAUGAUGGCCAGGCUGUCUCCACCCGAGACUCAGUGAAAUUGAACUCGCUGUGAAGAUGCAGUGUACCCGCGGCAAGACGGAAAGACCCCGUGAACCUUUACUAUAGCUUGACACUGAACAUUGAGCCUUGAUGUGUAGGAUAGGUGGGAGGCUUUGAAGUGUGGACGCCAGUCUGCAUGGAGCCGACCUUGAAAUACCACCCUUUAAUGUUUGAUGUUCUAACGUUGACCCGUGAUCCGGGUUGCGGACAGUGUCUGGUGGGUAGUUUGACUGGGGCGGUCUCCUCCUAAAGAGUAACGGAGGAGCACGAAGGUUGGCUAAUCCUGGUCGGACAUCAGGAGGUUAGUGCAAUGGCAUAAGCCAGCUUGACUGCGAGCGUGACGGCGCGAGCAGGUGCGAAAGCAGGUCAUAGUGAUCCGGUGGUUCUGAAUGGAAGGGCCAUCGCUCAACGGAUAAAAGGUACUCCGGGGAUAACAGGCUGAUACCGCCCAAGAGUUCAUAUCGACGGCGGUGUUUGGCACCUCGAUGUCGGCUCAUCACAUCCUGGGGCUGAAGUAGGUCCCAAGGGUAUGGCUGUUCGCCAUUUAAAGUGGUACGCGAGCUGGGUUUAGAACGUCGUGAGACAGUUCGGUCCCUAUCUGCCGUGGGCGCUGGAGAACUGAGGGGGGCUGCUCCUAGUACGAGAGGACCGGAGUGGACGCAUCACUGGUGUUCGGGUUGUCAUGCCAAUGGCACUGCCCGGUAGCUAAAUGCGGAAGAGAUAAGUGCUGAAAGCAUCUAAGCACGAAACUUGCCCCGAGAUGAGUUCUCCCUGACUCCUUGAGAGUCCUGAAGGAACGUUGAAGACGACGACGUUGAUAGGCCGGGUGUGUAAGCGCAGCGAUGCGUUGAGCUAACCGGUACUAAUGAACCGUGAGGCUUAACCUU